GUUAGUGGCGUAAGGGUGAGUAACGGAUAGGUAACGUACCUCGUGCUUCGGGAUAGCGUCGUUCGCCUUCGGGCGAACUUCCGAAAGGGGCGGUAAUACCGGAUAAUAUCGCUUGUUGAUAGACGAGUGAUCAAAGAUUUAUCGGCACUGGAGCGGCCUGUCUCCUAUCAGCUUGUUGGUGAGGUAAAAGCUCACCAAGGCUAUGACGGGUAGCGGGACUGAGAGGUUGGCCCGCCACAUCGGGACUGAGACACUGCCCGGACCUCCACGGAGGGCUGCAGUAACGAAUCUUGUGCAAUGGGCGAAAGCCUGACACAGCGACGCCGCGUGUAGGAGGAAGUCCUUCGGGAUGUAAACUACUGUCAGGGGUAAGAAAGUUCACUUCGGUGGAUUGAUCCAACCCAAAGGAAGUCACGGCUAACUUCGUGCCAGCAGCCGCGGUAAGACGAAGGUGGCGAGCGUUGUUCGGUAUUACUGGGCUUAAAGCGUGUGUAGGCGGAAAAGUAAGCGUUCUGUGAAAGCCCCCGGCUUAACCGGGGAAUUGCGCAACGAACUGCUUUUCUUGAGGCAAGUAGGGGCGCAUGGAACUCUUGGUGGAGCGGUGGAAUGCGUAGAUAUCAAGAGGAACGCCAGUGGAGAAAUCGGUGCACUGGGCUUGUCCUGACGCUGAGACACGAAAGCGUGGGGAGCGAACGGGAUUAGAUACCCCGGUAGU
RNAcentral lists this ribosomal RNA (715 nucleotides) under uncultured bacterium. Its description in RNAcentral is "bacterial SSU rRNA". It matches the Rfam family "Bacterial small subunit ribosomal RNA", at positions 91 to 794 of the family's 1533-position model. The record is from RNAcentral.